GACGAACGCUGGCGGCGUGCUUAACACAUGCAAGUCGAACGGAAAGGCCCUGCUUUUGUGGGGUGCUCGAGUGGCGAACGGGUGAGGAACACGUGGGUAACCUGCCCUUGACUUUGGGAUAACUUCAGGAAACUGGGGCUAAUACCGGAUAGGAGCUCCUGCUGCAGGGUGGGGGUGGGAAAGUUUCGGCGGUUGGGGAUGGACUCGCGGCUGAUCAGCUUGUUGGUGGGGUAGUGGCUUACCAAGGCUUUGACGGGUAGCCGGCCUGAGAGGGUGACCGGCCACAUUGGGACUGAGAUACGGCCCAGACUCCUACGGGAGGCAGCAGUGGGGAAUAUUGCCCAAUGGGCGGAAGCCUGAUGCAGCAACGCCGCGUGCGGGAUGACGGCCUUCGGGUUGUAAACCGCUUUCGCCUGUGACGAAGCGUGAGUGACGGUAAUGGGUAAAGAAGCACCGGCUAACUACGUG
This 468-nucleotide ribosomal RNA is filed under the name uncultured bacterium. RNAcentral's name for it is "partial 16S ribosomal RNA". It matches the Rfam family "Bacterial small subunit ribosomal RNA", at positions 28 to 507 of the family's 1533-position model. The record is from RNAcentral.